AUGUUUGUACCAUGUUUUGAGCUGCUAACAUGUUCUGCUGCUAUGUUGUGUUGCUACUGUGUUUUUGUCAUGUGUUGUUGUCUUAGGUCUCUCUUUAUGUUGUGUUGUCUCUCUUGUCGUGAUGUGGGUUUGUCCAAAAUAUUUAUUUUUUAUUCUAGUCGUCACUUACUGUGUUUGAACACUAGAGGGCACUGUGUUGCUGUGUGGUUUCAGCCCUCACCCCUCCAAUCUGUCUGUCUGUCACACCAGGGGCUGCCAGGACUAAGAGGUGUACAGGGCCUCCCAGGACCUAUUGGGCCCGCUGGAAAUCCAGGCACACCUGUGAGUUUGCCAACACUGUCAACCACACAAACAAAAACACAUACAUGCACGAUGCACCCACACACACACACACACACACACAUACACACACACACACACAAAGCUCCACUUUCCAAAGCACGUGUCUCAUUGAUGUCUCAUAAGCCUAAUUGUUGUGUUUCAGGGCAAAGCAGGAGAAGAUGGAAAACCAGGUGCUGCUGGGAAAAUGGGUGAGGAUGGCGUACCAGGGGAAGAUGGCAGAAAGGUCCGUGUUGGUUACGGCAACAUUCACAUAACUUUAUUCAUGGUCUAUGGUCCACUGACCUGUAAACAUCACGGUUUCCUCCCAUUGCUGUGCUGUUUAUGAUCAUUUGGAGUUAAUGUGAGUGUCUUUGCAGUGUCACUGUUGUCUUUAGUUGUGUAAUGAAAAUUAUGUUUCUCUACCUCACAGGGUGACAAAGGAGAGGCUGGGGUUUCUGGAAGAGACGUUAGUAACUUGUUACCCUGUAUCUUUAUCUCUCCCCUCUCGCUCUCUUUCUAUGUUUGUACAAUGUCCUUUCUUUCCUUCCCUGCUGUCUCUCUCUUCCUCUCGCUCCCUCUUUGCCUCCGUCUUCAUCGAUCCUGCUCUCCUCGGCUCCUGAGCAUCUCUCGAUUAUCCCUGUUCCGUUUCUUUCUCGCCAUCAAUCCUCCUCCUAGUGUGUUUUUAUUAAGCGUACUCUCCUGUGACAUUGAUAUUUCUAUCACACCCUACCUUCACGGUGGAAUCAAUAGCGCUCUAAGCAGCAGCUGUAUAAAUGCAACGGUGGGUAAUGAUCAAGCUCUGCCUUUGAGGGCCAGCCCCUUCUGAGAGGGGAUCCGCACGGGCAUAGAAUGUCAAGGCUUUGGUUUCAUGUCCAAAUUCAUAGAAAUGAUCUAGGACAUCUGCCUCCUUUCUAGUUCAGGCCAGACCCCUUAGGAAUAGAAUAGAGUGUCCGUGCUGGUCUGAAGUUGUCAAGUGUGUGUGUGUGUGUGUGUGUGUUUCAGGGCCGUGAUGGGCUGAAGGGGGACCGGGGCCUUGGCGGGCCUGCAGGGCCAACUGGUCUAUCUGGGCCCCAAGGGGUCCCUGGCACCAUCGGACCUCCAGGACAGGUACAGAACAGUCAUAUGCCUCUGCUUCCUAGAAUGUGUGUAUGUGUCACUUGGUGCUCUGAUUAUACAUUUAUCUCUCUCCCCUCUCUUCUCUCUCAGGUGGUCUAUGCGAAGGGAGCUCCAACACCAUCUAUCCCUGGCCCUCAGGGGCCUCCAGGAAGCCCAGUAAGUUACUAUGUUGGAUAUGAGCCGUGCAGUAUAGCAGUAUAGCAUAGCCUGAUGUAGCAGUACUGUGUGCUUGUCUUAAGUACAUUUCUAAUGCACUCUGUUUCUGAUGCCCAUCUCUCUCUGUCUCUCAGGGUGUGCCUGGAAUCCCAGGGACCGCAGGAGCUAGAGUAAGGCAUUUCCAUAGAGAUCAUUUACUAUUAUUUAUUUCUAUGGUCAGUCAGUCUGCUCUAGCUCUCUCCAUCCAUCUGUCCUUCGGUCUGAUCUCUGACCCAUUCACUCUUGUAUUUCAGGGGGAGAGAGGAGCAGUGGGCAGUAAAGGUGAAAGGGUAAGUGUGUGUGUGUGUCUGAAAUAUGAAUGUGCACACAUGCUGUUUCCUGAGUGUGUGUAUGGGUGUAUGUGUUAGUGCAUCUUUAGUAUUACUGAUGUGAGAUGUUAUUGACAGGGUGACCCAGGAGAGGACGGGCAACCGGGCAGGCCUGGAACAGCAGUGGUAAGAAAAUACGCAUUCAAGAAAGGAGAAUAACCCCAGCAUGUGACUGAUAAAGGCAUGACCAUGUACUGUAUUCACUCCUCCUUGACACUGUUUGUGCCUCUCUCCCAUCAGGAUGUGCAGAAGGCCCUCUCUAACCUUGGCAUUGAGGUA
Molecule: long non-coding RNA, 2240 nt
Organism: Oncorhynchus kisutch (coho salmon)
Lineage: Eukaryota; Metazoa; Chordata; Actinopteri; Salmoniformes; Salmonidae
Source: Ensembl